UGGAGAGGGCGCCUGAUGAAAUGGCCACCAACGAACCCGGAAGGCCUGAAAAUGUGAAGAUAACAGGUCCGUUAUGCCCAACAGGUCCGUGAUGCCCAACAGGUCAGUGAUGCCCAACAGGUGGAGAGGGGGCCUGAUGGCCAACAUCGUGAUGGCGUGGAACAGGUCCGUUAUGCCCAACUGGUGGAGAGGGGGCCUGAGAAACGGCUACCACUUCUACGGAAGGCAGCAGGCGCGUAAAUUACCCAAUCCUAACUCAGGGAGGUAGUGACAAGAAAUAAUAGACCGGAUUUAUCCGGGUUUGCAAUGAGCCUAAUUUACACAACUUAGUGAGGAUCCAUUGGAGGGCAAGUCUGGUGCCAGCAGCCGCGGUAAUUCCAGCUCCAAUAGCGUAUAUUAAAGUUGUUGCAGUUAAAAAGCUCGUAGUUGGACAUGAGGUGGGGGGGCGCGGUCGGCCGGAAGGCUGGACUGUGAGCCGUUGCCUGUUGGUGGGGGGGUUUUGUUUGUGAAAGCAGGCAAGGCACGCCCACGGGUUACUGUGAAGAAAUUAGAGUGUUCAAGGCAGGCAAGAGCUUGAAUAGGUCAGCAUGGAAUAACAAGAUGGGACAUUGCCAGCUUGUUGGUUAGGGGGCAGAAGUGAAGAUUGAUAGGGCCAGUUGGGGGCAUUAGUAUUUAGUAGUCAGAGGUGAAACUCUUGGAUUUACUAAAGACUGACUAGAGCGAAAGCAUUUGCCAAGGAUGUUUUCAUUAAUCAAGAACGAAAGUUAGGGGAUCGAAGACGAUCAGAUACCGUCGUAGUCUUGACUAUAAACGAUGCCGACUAGGGGUUAGCGGGAGUCGAAUGGGACGCCGCUAGGACCAGUAGAGAAAUCAAAGUGUUUGGGUUCUGGGGGGAGUAUGGUCGCAAGGCUGAAACUUAAAGGAAUUGACGGAAGGGCACCACCAGGAGUGGAGCCUGCGGCUUAAUUUGACUCAACACGGGAAAACUCACCAGGUCCGGACAUGGGAAGGAUUGACAGAUUGAGAGCACUUUCGAGAUUCUGUGGGUGGUGGUGCAUGGCCGUUCUUAGUUGGUGGAGUGAUUUGUCUGGUUAAUUCCGAUAACGAACGAGACCUUGGCUGCGUGGUGUGUGUGUGGUGUGGUUGACACUGCAUGCGUCAUGGCAGGACUGGCCACGGUUAGUGGCCGGAAGUUCGAGGCAAUAACAGGUCCGUGAUGCCCA
RNAcentral lists this ribosomal RNA (1223 nucleotides) under uncultured eukaryote. RNAcentral's name for it is "SSU rRNA". It matches the Rfam family "Eukaryotic small subunit ribosomal RNA", at positions 195 to 1473 of the family's 1831-position model. The record is from RNAcentral.